AUCAGAAUUAAUUCAAUGGGCUUUAAAAUACUCAAUUCCCCACGUAGCCUUAACGGAUUUGAUAAUUUUAUUAAAAAAUAAACUUAAGCUUGAAGAACUACCUAGAGACAGUAGAACUUUAAUUAGAACACCAAGCUCCUGUUCCAUAGUACCAAUGGGAGAUGGUCAUUUCUGGUAUAAUGGGAUCCAAAAAAACUUGUAUCAGCAAUCAUUUUUAACCGAGUUAAAUAAGGAUAAAGAUAUUUCUUCUAUUUCUCUUAUUUUUAACAUUGAUGGACUGCCUCCGUUUAAUAGUUCUCCUUUACAAUUUUAGCCAAUAUUACUCAAAGUACAUGAAUACCCUAAAUUAAAGCCAAUGGCUAUUGCUGUUUAUUGUGGACCAACGAAACCCCCUAUUCAAGAAUAUUUUAUUUGAUUCACUACAUUUAUUUGACUUAGGUAUUAUGAAGAAGUGCCUUAAUGGAUGGGUUUAUGGUAAUUACAAUUUUAAAACCAAAUUCUCUGGCAGAGAUAUUGAAUAUCUCUCAUAAAUGUUAAUAUCAUGUAACAUCAGAAGGCCAACUGAACUUCACAGAGCAAUAAGACGACUAAAGAAUUUAAAAUUUUGGAAAGGAUCUAAAUAUCGGACGUUUUUACUUUACUUGGGACCAGUACUCCUUAAAGAUAUUUUAGCUGGUCCAUAUCAAAAUUAUAUUUAUUUAUUUUAUGCUACUACUAUUUUGAGUUGUUCAGCUUAUUUAAAACACAUUAUUGUAGCUGAGAAAUUGUUAUUUCAGUUUACUACAACAUUUAGUAAUUUAUAUGGCAAGGAUGCUAUUGGGAGCAACGUGCACAAUCUGUGCCAUGUUGUGAAUGACGUUAAAAAGUUUGGUUCUCUAACUGAUAUAAGUGCAUAUCCUUUUGAAAAUUUUUUAUUUAGUUUAAAAUCAUUAGUUCGUACUGGUAAAAGGUCAUUAGCACAAAUUGCCAAACGGCUGACAGAAAUGCAAAGCUUAAAAAUAGAUGCUUUUCCUGGUUUAGUAACUCCUUAUGCGACAAAUGAAAUUUUAAAGAAAAAACCAGAGUCUUUAGCACUUGCAGGAUACAGGUUAUACAAAACCAUUUGUGUGUCAGAAAAUAUUAUGUUAUCUAAUAAUAUUAAAAAUAAAUGGUUUAU
This is a long non-coding RNA of Anthonomus grandis grandis, 1156 nucleotides long. RefSeq lists it as uncharacterized. The transcript is spliced from 2 exons. The record is from RefSeq and is a predicted model, not a curated record. Lineage: Eukaryota; Metazoa; Arthropoda; Insecta; Coleoptera; Curculionidae.